Paramormyrops kingsleyae is the source of this 127-nucleotide small nucleolar RNA. Ensembl annotates it as small nucleolar RNA ACA64. The record is from Ensembl. Lineage: Eukaryota; Metazoa; Chordata; Actinopteri; Osteoglossiformes; Mormyridae.
ACAGUCUGAAAAUUACCCCCGGUAUACCCGUUAUCUGGGGUAAGAUUACUGUGCCCACAGGAAGUUGGUACAUUAAGCUCAUCACCCGCUUCCAUAGUGGAGUGAUUAAACCCAUGUACCUACAGCA